RNAcentral lists this transfer RNA (69 nucleotides) under Microtermes sp. A TB-2017. RNAcentral describes it as "tRNA-Ile". Lineage: Eukaryota; Metazoa; Arthropoda; Insecta; Blattodea; Termitidae. The record is from RNAcentral.
AAUGACGAGCCUGAUUAAAGGAUUAUCGUGAUAGGAUAAAACAUGUAGAAUAAAUCUCUACCCUCAUUA